This 435-nucleotide long non-coding RNA is filed under the name Salmo salar (Atlantic salmon). RNAcentral's name for it is "lncRNA (ENSSSAG00000116243.1)". The record is from RNAcentral. Lineage: Eukaryota; Metazoa; Chordata; Actinopteri; Salmoniformes; Salmonidae.
AUUGGCGUGUUGACUGCAGGAGCUGUUGCCGGGAUAAUUGAAUGUUCAUUUCUCUACCAUAAGCCGCUUCCAACGUCGUUUUUUUUUGUUUGUUGAGAAUUUGGCUCUACGUUCAAUUGGUCUCAUAACCGCAGACCCACGUGUACGGCGUCGUGUGGGCCCCAUGGUGGAGGUGGGGUUAUGGUAUUGGGCCCCAUGGUGGAGGUGGGGUUAUGGUAUUGGGCCCCAUGGUGGAGGUGGGGUUAUGGUAUGGGCCCCAUGGUGGAGGUGGGGUUAUGGUAUGGGCCCCAUGGUGGAGGUGGGGUUAUGGUAUGGGCCCCAUGGUGGAGGUGGGGUUAUGGUAUGGGGCCCCAUGGUGGAGGUGGGGUUAUGGUAUUGGGCCCCAUGGUGGAGGUGGGGUUAUGGUAUGGGCCCCAUGGUGGAGGUGGGGUUAUG